This 528-nucleotide ribosomal RNA is filed under the name uncultured bacterium. RNAcentral describes it as "bacterial SSU rRNA". It matches the Rfam family "Bacterial small subunit ribosomal RNA", at positions 774 to 1292 of the family's 1533-position model. The record is from RNAcentral.
AGCUAAUAGAUACCCCGGUAGUCCACGCCCUAAACGAUGUCUACUAGUUGUUGGUGGAGUAAAAUCCAUGAGUAAACGCAGCUAAACGCGUGAAGUAGACCGCCUGGGGAGUACGGUCGCAAGAUUAAAAACUCAAAGGAAUUGACGGGGGGCCCCGCACAAGCGGUGGAUUAUGUGGAUUAAAUUCGAUGCAACGCGAAAAACCUUACCUGGCCUUGACAUGCCACUAACGAAGCAGAGAUGCAUUAGUGCCCGUAAGGAAAGUGGACACAGGUGCUGCAUGGCUGUCGUCAGCUCGUGUCGUGAGAUGUUGGGUUAAGUCCCGCAACGAGCGCAACCCUUGCCAUUAAUUGCCAUCAUUUAGUUGGGUCACUUUAAAUGGGACUGCCGGUGACAAACCGGAGGAAGGUGGGGAUGACGUCAAGGUCCUCAUGGCCCUUAUGGCCAGGGCUUCACACGUAAUACAAUGGUCGGUACAGAGAGUUGCCAACCCGCGAGGGGAGCUAAUCUCAGAAAGCCGAUCGUAGU